Molecule: long non-coding RNA, 766 nt
Organism: Condylura cristata (star-nosed mole)
Lineage: Eukaryota; Metazoa; Chordata; Mammalia; Eulipotyphla; Talpidae
Exons: 3
Source: RefSeq, a predicted model, not a curated record
GAUGGUUUCGCUCAUAGCAGGAGUAUAACGGACCAGGCUUGGCCAGCCGCCCACAAGUCAGCCCACGGCUGCCCCUCAAGUGUGUCCAUGUAUCAUUUCGCUGCCACAUCUUCUCGGCGACGGGAUCUCUGAGGCUUCACCGGGAUUGGGGCUCCAGGGUGAGCCAGAAAACAGCAGGUGCCGUCUGGCAGGACCCUGAGGAUGGACGUCCACGUGGGGCAGGUUGCCCGACUUUCAGAUGCUUGUAUUGGACAGCUGGAAGCGCCUGGAGUUUGAAUUCGUGUUUGAUGGAUUUUCACUUUUUUUUUUUUAAAUCAAAACCAUGUAAGGCUUCUGGGUUAAGCAGAAUAUAUUUAUAAUUUUAUAAAUUAUGUCAAAUGGCAGACGAGCAGGAGCCUCUGUUCCGGCCAGAAACCCAAACCCCCUCACUGAUCCAUCUGGAGCCCCCUCACCCACCUGCUGCCCAGCGUUGGGUCCCCCUGGGCCUUUAGUCCUGGAGAGAUAAUGAAAGGGCCGCGAGGGCUGUGCCCCCACUGGGAGCCUCGCAGUGAGGCUGGGGCGACCCCUGAGCCAGGGUCUGUGGCACCCUCCGUGCGACUUCAGACCCUUGGAAAGGGCGCCCCAGUGGUUGGGCCUCAAGAGUGUGGCGAGUGGCCAGUCCCAGUGGGAGCACUCGGACCUGCCAGGCUUCACGACGAGAACAAGGCCCGGCUCGACCGGAGGGUGACCAUGAGCAGAGGGAAGGCCCCGCUGCAGGGACCCUGCC